CCCGGUGGUUAUAGCGAGGAGGAAACACCCGUUCCCAUCCCGAACACGGAAGUUAAGCUUCUCAGCGCCAAUGGUACUGCAGGAAUACCUGUGGGAGAGUAGGUCGCUGCCGGGU
RNAcentral lists this ribosomal RNA (115 nucleotides) under Candidatus Aerophobetes bacterium Ae_b3a. The record is from RNAcentral. Lineage: Bacteria; Candidatus Aerophobota.